GUUUAUGGCCACACCACCCUGAGCACGCCCGCUCUCGUCUGAUCUCGGAAGCCAAGCAGGGUCGGGCCUGGUUAGUACUUGGAUGGGAGACCGCCUGGGAAUACCAGGUGCUGUAAGCAU
RNAcentral lists this ribosomal RNA (120 nucleotides) under Misgurnus anguillicaudatus (oriental weatherfish). The record is from RNAcentral. Lineage: Eukaryota; Metazoa; Chordata; Actinopteri; Cypriniformes; Cobitidae.